Long non-coding RNA from Mytilus californianus (California mussel), 2087 nucleotides. RefSeq lists it as uncharacterized. The transcript has 2 exons. NCBI's taxonomy places the organism in Eukaryota, Metazoa, Mollusca, Bivalvia, Mytilida, Mytilidae. The record is from RefSeq and is a predicted model, not a curated record.
AAAACAGAUCAAAAUUCUUCAUUAAUUUCGUAUUUGAAUGUUCAAAAAUAAAAACAAAAGGUCACAUGUUAUUGUUGUAUUGUAUUCCUUUGCAUUAAUACUAUCGCUUUGCAAUUAUACGAAUUAUGCAUGCUUAACAAUACACUAAUUAAUAGUACUAUGUUUAUUGUGUGACAUUUCUUUGUAUAAACAAAUUCAAAAAAAAAUUAUCAUUCAUGCAAAGUAGUCUUAUGAUUAAUACAGUUUUAAUGUUUCAUGAAAGAACAUGUUGACAAUCAAUAAACUCAUCUUAGAUACCAGGAUUUUAUUUGUGUACUCCAGACGCGCGUUUGGUCUAUAAAAGACUCAACAAAAGACCCCCCAAAAAAAGCUAUUCAAUUAUAGUGUUUUCUUAGUUUCUUUUAGCAUAGAUAAUGUGUUUUGAUAUAUAAUCAGUUAUUCUAUUUGAACCGCUGUGUGUAUACUGACUUGCAAUGGUGAGUAGGAUUAUUUCUAUCCAAACCAAUUUGUUAAUUCUGCACGAAUGUCUAUGAAAUAUAAGAAAAUAGUAUUAACACAGAUGAAUUCAAAACGGACAAUAUGUCAAGGGUCUAAGCGUUCCAUACUAUAUACAAAUAAGAAGAUGUAGUAUGAAUACCAAUGAGAAACUCUCCAUCCAAGUCACAAUUUGUAAAAAGUAAACAAUUAUAGGUCAAAGUACGGCCUUCAACACGGAGCCUUGGCUCACACCGAACAGCAAGCUAUAAAGGGCCCCAAAAUGACAAGUGUAAAACAAUUCAAACAGGAAAACCAACAGUCUAAUCUAUAUAAAAAACGAGAAACGAGAAACACUUAAGAACCAUAUCAACAUACGACAACCACUGAAACAGUAUCCUGACUUAGGACAGGUGCAAACAAAUGCAGCGGGAUUAUUUAAUCAAAGUCUGACAUUAAGGAAGCAGUUGCAAUCGGUAGGUCUCUAGAUCAUACGACUUUUGAUGUAUCUAAUUCUCAAACACUAAUAACUGAGCUUUAGUAAGUUGAAAAGAUGAAAGUUGUUCCUGGAACAAUGGAAAAAAUUAAAAAAAAAAGUAUAAGGAAACUAUAUUUGAUCUGAACAGCUCUUUACAGAAUGUGCAAUAAACGAUACGUCAUAUCAAGUCUUACAUUAACAUGUUAGCCUUAUCCUCCGCUACAAACUUAGAAUUAUUCAUACAAUUUGCCGGCAGGCAAUACAGGUAUGUGUUGUUAAUGGACAGACUUUUUUUUUAUCUAUAAAAAACACAAAAUAUUCAAUUAUCUGAUAAACUAUUGAAGAGAACGAGAUUGAACAAAUGCAAAAUGUUGGAACACUAUUGUAUAAACAAACAAAACCAACUUUCCGCACAAGACUUGACAUUUGCAAAUUAUGCUGAAAUCGAAACGGUCGUUUAAGUUUUAAAUUCUUUUAAAAGGAUAUCAGUUUGUUGUUUGUUGUUUUUUUUAACAUACAUCACAGAACAUAACAAUUAAUUGUAAAAAAAAGGGUGUUUCAAUGAAAGUGUCUUUAUUAUUCGCCAUUGUAAACUUCAGUGCAGUUAUAUAAAUCAAUGAAGUUGCUUUGUGUUAGAUGUUUUUAUUUGAUUGUAUUUCAUGGGAUAAACACAAGUGACAAGUAAAUCAGAAAUGUAUUACUUAAAGGAAACUAAACGAUUAUAAACUAAACAAGACCGGCAGUAUCAAAAAGGAAUGCGUGGUACAUCUUUGAUAAACUAAAAACGGAUAUAAAAAAUCGAAUUUAUGAAUUCAUGUGUGUCGCCAAAACAACAAGAAAAAUAGAGACUAUUGCAAUAAAUGACAGGUCGAGCUUUAUGUUUGGAGUUAUUUGGAGAGACUGAGGACAUAUGUUUACAAUAUGAAUUUGAUAAUUCUAUUAUUCAGAACAAUGUCCACAAGAAAGGAACUAUUGAUUUGUUUCGUUUGAUUUUGAAGAAGAUGAGACAUGCAUAAAAAGUAUGAGCUAAUAUUAAAUUGAAAUUGGAGAUCAGCCGAGAACUCAAGAUUUAAAAAACUAUAUAUAUGUUGCAAAUGAAAUAACAUGUCUUUCUAAUAUAAUUCACCCAACAAUA